GAUGAACGCUGGCGGCGUGCCUAAUACAUGCAAGUCGAGCGAACAGACGAGGAGCUUGCUCCUCUGACGUUAGCGGCGGACGGGUGAGUAACACGUGGAUAACCUACCUAUAAGACUGGGAUAACUUCGGGAAACCGGAGCUAAUACCGGAUAAUAUAUUGAACCGCAUGGUUCAAUAGUGAAAGACGGUUUUGCUGUCACUUAUAGAUGGAUCCGCGCCGCAUUAGUUAGUUGGUAAGGUAACGGCUUACCAAGGCAACGAGGCGUAGCCGACCUGAGAGGGUGAUCGGCCACACGGGAACAGAGACUCGGUCCAGACUCCUACGGGAGGCAGCAGUAGGGAAUCUUCCGCAAUGGGCGAAAGCCUGACGGAGCAACGCCGCGUGAGUGAUGAAGGUCUUCGGAUCGUAAAACUCUGUUAUUAGGGAAGAACAAAUGUGUAAGUAACUAUGCACAUCUUGACGGUACCUAAUCAGAAAGCCACGGCUAACUACGUG
This 497-nucleotide ribosomal RNA is filed under the name uncultured bacterium. Its description in RNAcentral is "partial 16S ribosomal RNA". It matches the Rfam family "Bacterial small subunit ribosomal RNA", at positions 28 to 507 of the family's 1533-position model. The record is from RNAcentral.